Molecule: unclassified non-coding RNA, 338 nt
Filed under: soil metagenome
Description: partial contains 5.8S ribosomal RNA, internal transcribed spacer 2, and large subunit ribosomal RNA
Rfam family: 5.8S ribosomal RNA (bases 1-120)
Source: RNAcentral
GAUGAAGAACGCAUCGAAAUGCGAUAAGUAAUGUGAAUUGCAGAAUUCAGUGAAUCAUCGAAUCUUUGAACGCACAUUGCGCCCGGUAGUAUUCUGCCGGGCAUGCCUGUUCGAGCGUCAUUUCAACCAUCAAGCCCCAGCGCUUGUGUUGGGGGCCUGCGGCUGCCGCAGCCCCCCAAAAGCAGUGGCGGGCUCGCUAUCACACCGAGUGCAGUAGUUCAUCUUCUCUCCGGUCUUGUGAGGCGGGUUCCGGCCGUGAAACACCCCACUACAUUCAAGGUUGACCUCGGAUCAGGUAGGAAUACCCGCUGAACUUAAGCAUAUCAAUAAGCGGAGGA